AGAGAUGGUGAGUGAAGGAGAGAUGGAGAGAGAUGGUAAGAGAUGGUGAGAGAUGGAGAGUGAAACAGAGAGAUGGUGAGAAACAGAGAUGGUGAGAGAAACAGAGCGAUGAUGGGAGAAACAGAGAGAUGGUGAGAGAUGGUGAGAGAAAAAGAGAGAUGGAGAGAGAAACAGAGAGAUGGAGAGAGAAACAGAGAGAUGGUGAGAGAAACAGAUAGAGAUGGAGAGAGAAACAGAGAGAUGGUGAGAGAAAAGAGAGAUGGUGAGAGAAGGAGGAAAAUGGUGAGAGAAGGUGAGAGAAAGAGAGAGAUGGUGAGAGAGAGAUGGUGAGAGAAACAGAGAGAUGGUGAGAGAUGGUGAGGGAAACAGAGAGAUGGUGAGAGAUGGUGAGGGAAACAGAGAGAUGGUGAGAGAUGGUGAGAGAAACAGAGAGAUGGUGAGAGAAACAGAGAUGGUGAGAGAAACAGAGAGAUGGUGAGAGAAGGAGGAAAAUGGUGAGAGAAGGUGAGAGAAAGAGAGAGAUGGUGAGAGAUGGUGAGAGAGAUGGUGAGAGAAACAGAGAGAAAGUGAGAGAUAGUGAGAGAAACAGAGAGAUGGUGAGAGAUGGUGAGAGAAAAGAGAGAUGGUGAGAGAAACAGAGAGAUGGUGAGAGAAACAGAGAGAUGGUGAGAGAAAAGAGAGAUGGUGAGAGAAACAGAGAGAUGGUGAGAGAAAGAGAGAUGUGAGAGAAACAGAGAGAUGGUGAGAGAUGGUGAGAGAAACAGAGAGAUGGUGAGCUGGUGUGACAUUCUGAGAUCAGGAUGAAUGGGUAGCGGCUCCUGGUGACUGAGAUUGCUUUAUAGCAUUUCAUUUGGUUUGUUCCACUGCUUGGGUGAGCACAGCCCCGGUUAUGGAUUUAUAUUCUAAUGCGCUGGAGCAGGCGCUGAGAGAGGCCAAUGAGGCAGCUGCUGGAGCAGGGGGG
Molecule: long non-coding RNA, 961 nt
Filed under: Salmo salar (Atlantic salmon)
Lineage: Eukaryota; Metazoa; Chordata; Actinopteri; Salmoniformes; Salmonidae
Description: lncRNA (ENSSSAG00000112993.1)
Source: RNAcentral